CUCAGAGGGGAGCCUGCUGCUCCCUCUGCUUGUGCUCGCUCUCUAACAAAUGUAUAAAUAAAUAAAAUCUCUUUUUAAAAAUUGCCUUUCAGUAAGAUUCUAGUGCUGUUGUCUUUGAGGUUUAUUUUCUACCUGUAACUAGACUAGAUUCUGCAUUCUUCUGGUUUGUUCCAGUAUCUGGCUAGAACUCCAAAAACGAACACAUCCAGUUUUCUCCCACUCUUUUGACUUAGAAAUACUAUAAAACUAAAACUGCCGUUUUCCCCCAGAGCCAUGCAAACUUAAAGCUGCACAGUUUGAUACAAACUUCAGAGAAAUCCUCACCACAGCUCAGCUGUCUCACUCACGGCCACACUGCAAACCAGGAAAACCUGUCCGACUCUCACUGCUUGCCCCCACUCCAUCUGAACCCAACACUAGAAAUUUUCUCAACUGACAGCUCUGCAGUUUGCUGGAACUAUUUAUCUUUUGUUUCCACUGAAAUGCAUCUUGUUAAACUACUUGUUUGCUCACAUUAUACAGAGACCUAAUUUAGGUGAAAGCUCAGCUGAAUCAGGGCAGGACGGAUAUGAGGGUGUUUCAAGAAAUUGUGAGGCCAUGGAUGCUAAUACAUCAUGUUGUGCCUGUGUAUGGAUUUCAGUGCCUGGCACAGCCGCCGACAGACCAUGACCAGACAACGGGAUGAACGCAGCGGUAACCACAGGUACAGUGAAGAUGGGGACUGCACGGCCCUCCAGUCUGACAACUCAACUGGAUGAAAACUCUGAACACAUGAUUCUGUGGCGUGACUCGAACGGUGGUAACUGAGAACAACACUGUACUGGUUAAUAGUACUCUCAGCCUGCCAAGGAAGUGACCAAAAGGGGGCAGUUAUUAAAAACAAAUGGAGAACAACCUUAAAAAUUCCUUGGGCCGACAAAACCAGUUUAGUCAUACGCACUGAACUUACUUAGCAAGAUUAACUUGACCUGGGUCAUUUCUUGCUUAUGAUUCUAAAAUUCAUAAGCAAAACUUGAAAUGUUUCCCUAAGUUGGUAAGAGGUGACCACUGACCACUUCCCUGUUAAUCACUGGGAAGAAUAAACAGUCAUGCUUUCCCACUACAAAGCUCUUUGAUAAUACACCCUUGAGCCUCAUUCCGUGGUUUGAAUGCUCCCAGUAUAUGCACAAUAAACUUUUACUAAUUACUACUUUGGUGAUUGGUAUUACUUCUGUUAUGUAUGCUGCUGCCGUCAGAAGUUCAGAAAUAGCCAAAAGGUAACCAGUUGGUGACUGGAUAAACAAUGUGAUGUAUACAGAAGAGGAUAUAUACUAGUCAGCAAUAAAAAUGCUAGAGUAUAGAUUGGUUUUUGAGGUGAACCUCAAAACAUUUAUACUAAGAAGCCAGAUGCAAAACUAGAAUACGAUUUCACCUAUACCCAGAAAAGGCAAAUUUAUAGAAGGAAACCACAUCGUAUCACUGGCUGCCUGGGGAGAAGUGGAGAUGGAUUGCAGGAAGGGUCAUAAAAAUGUGGGGGCAGGGAUUGAUGAAAAUGUUUAAAUCCGGAUUAUGGUAAUAUUGGCACAACUCUAAACUUGGUAAAGGAUGGAUUGUAAACAUAGUAAAUGAAUUUAUAUAAAUUAUACCUCAAUAAAGCUGGAUCCAAAACACACUGAUUUAAUACUGCAUUAGAAUAGGUACUGAGAAAUGAAGCAAGUAGAAGGAAAAAUGAGAGCACUGUUAGAAUAUAGUACAAAUCGCCCUGUAUCAUUUCAGUCCUGGGCUCUGGUUUCCAGACAGGAAAAAAGAACAUUGUUUGCAAAUGAAUGGGGCAGGGGCAGGGGAAUCAGGUAAAAAAUUUAUUACUUUAGGCCAGAGGCCAAAACGGAAACAUUAAAAAAAAAAAAA
Mustela erminea (ermine) is the source of this 1887-nucleotide long non-coding RNA. RefSeq lists it as uncharacterized. Lineage: Eukaryota; Metazoa; Chordata; Mammalia; Carnivora; Mustelidae. The record is from RefSeq and is a predicted model, not a curated record. The transcript is spliced from 2 exons.